RNAcentral lists this long non-coding RNA (224 nucleotides) under Musa acuminata (dwarf banana). Its description in RNAcentral is "long non-coding RNA (MACU_LNC011471)". The record is from RNAcentral. Lineage: Eukaryota; Viridiplantae; Streptophyta; Magnoliopsida; Zingiberales; Musaceae.
ACCACCGCCUGACACAGUCUCGGAGACUAUGCCACGACGAUUUUACCUGUUUGGUCACUGUUUGGGCCUUUCUCUUGGCCCAACAUAGCCAAAACUUGGGCCCAACUAUCCCCUAAUUAGGUUAGCCCAAUUCUAGUCUCAAUUAUAUACUAACUAUGAAUUUUAAAACAUUUACUAAGCUAAAUAAAGUAUAUAAGUCUAGGUUUCUUUCUGUGAGUUUCCAG